CUUCCUGCGCGCUUCCCUGGCCUCCGCCAGGUUCGGGACGCCAUGGCUGCGCCGCCGGCCUCCGCGGACGCUACCCCUUCGUCCCUACAAUCCGCUGUGGCCCCAGACGCGCCUGGCCGCCCGGCCGAGCAAACUGAGACCGCGUGUGAGGACCGCAGCAACACAGGGUCCUUGGACAGACUCCUCCCACCCGUGGGUACCGGGCGCUCGCCCCGGAAGCGUACCACCAGCCAGUGCAAGUCAGAGCCACCCCUGCUCCGCACAAGCAAACGCACCAUCUACACAGCUGGGCGGCCACCAUGGUACAAUGAACAUGGCACACAGUCCAAGGAGGCCUUUGCCAUUGGCUUGGGAGGUGGCAGUGCAUCUGGGAAGACCACCGUAGCCAGGAUGAUCAUUGAAGCGCUAGAUGUGCCCUGGGUGGUCCUACUGUCCAUGGACUCCUUCUAUAAGGUUCUGACACAGCAGCAGCAGGAACAGGCUGCCUGUAACAACUUCAACUUCGACCACCCUGAUGCCUUUGAUUUUGACCUCAUCAUUUCGACCCUCAAGAAACUAAAGCAGGGCAGGAGCGUCCAAAUACCCAUCUAUGACUUCACCACCCAUAGCCGGAAAAAGGACUGGAAAACACUGUAUGGUGCAAAUGUCAUCAUCUUUGAGGGUAUCAUGGCCUUUGCUGACAAGACACUGCUGGAGCUCCUAGACAUGAAGAUCUUUGUAGACACAGAUUCUGAUAUCCGACUGGUACGGCGGCUACGCCGGGACAUCAGCGAGCGAGGUCGGGAUAUUGAGGGCGUCAUUAAGCAGUACAACAAGUUUGUCAAGCCUGCCUUCGAUCAGUAUAUCCAGCCCACCAUGCGCCUGGCAGAUAUUGUAGUGCCCAGAGGGAGCGGGAACACAGUAGCCAUUGACCUGAUUGUGCAGCAUGUUCACAGCCAACUGGAAGAGCGUGAACUCAGCGUCAGGGCUGCGCUGGCCUCAGCCCACCAGUGCCAUCCCCUUCCUCAGACUCUGAGUGUCCUCAAGAGUACACCACAGGUACGAGGCAUGCACACCAUCAUCAGGGACAAGGAGACUAGCCGGGAUGAAUUCAUUUUCUACUCCAAAAGAUUGAUGCGGUUGCUUAUUGAACAUGCGCUGUCCUUCCUACCCUUCCAGGACUGCACUGUACAGACCCCACAGGGACAGGACUACGUGGGAAAGUGCUAUGCUGGAAAGCAGAUCACCGGCGUGUCCAUUCUGCGUGCAGGGGAAACCAUGGAGCCUGCACUGCGUGCCGUGUGCAAGGAUGUGCGCAUCGGCACCAUCCUCAUCCAGACCAACCAGCUCACAGGGGAGCCUGAGCUCCACUACCUAAGACUUCCCAAGGAUAUUAGCGACGACCACGUGAUCCUGAUGGACUGCACAGUAUCCACAGGAGCCGCAGCCAUGAUGGCUGUUCGUGUGCUCCUGGACCAUGAUGUGCCCGAAGACAAGAUCUUCUUGCUAUCCCUGCUCAUGGCAGAGAUGGGUGUGCACUCUGUGGCCUAUGCAUUUCCACGUGUGAGGAUUAUCACCACAGCGGUGGACAAGCGUGUCAAUGACCUUUUCCGUAUCAUCCCAGGCAUCGGGAAUUUUGGCGAUCGCUACUUUGGGACAGAUGCAGUUCCUGAUGGCAGUGAUGAGGAAGAGACAGCCUCUGUGGGUCCCCAUUGGGUGCUGGCUGUGUUAACUGAACAUCAGAAGACUAGGAAGGGUUAUAAACAUUGCACAGAAGAAUUAUCUAAAGUAAUUUAAAAACAGUCAAAAGGAAGACAAGGAAAGACCACAUCAUUGGGCACAAACAGAAAUCUACACUCUAGCCUUGCACCUCCCUCACUGGGAUAGAAGAGAAAGGGGCCACAGAGCCGCAGGCAGGAGGACGUGCUACCAGUCUGCAGCUUUCUACUCAUAACCUGGUUCCUGGCCAUCACGGUGAAAGGGCACCAACAUGAGGGUGAUGGGACCAGCACCCCAGAUUGUCCAGUGGCCUCUUCUUCCUUUGUUCCAAAAUAGACCAAGCAAUGAAUUUCUCAUUCUUUUUUUUUUUUUUUUUUUGAGACAGGGUUUCUCUGUGUAACAGCCCUAGCUGUACUAGAACUCAGAGAUCCGCCUGCCUCUGCUUCUGGAGUGCUGGGAUUAGAGGCGUGCGCCACCACUACCCCGCUAAUUUCUCAUUCUUCUACUAGAUUUGUUUGAGUAGGGAUCUUACUGUAUAAAGCCCAGACUGGCCUGCAACUCAAGGUCUUUCUACCUCCCUAGUGCUGGGAUUACAGGCAAGUCCCACUACGUGUAGCCAUAGGUCUGAUGUUUACAAAUUAUUUCUAACUCAGUAUGAUAAUGAAUAGCCCUAAAAUCCUAUAAAGAAUAAAACAUACAAACCCAUAGUAGGACUUUGAAGCCAGCUUCUGGCUCAUGUAAUUCUCCUGUAGGGUCAGCUGGGAACCCUGGCAUCAAUGUCUCCCAGGACCUGGACAGGCCCCUCAAUAACUGCCAAGUUUGCACUCACAAUGCAACCUCUUCUUGCAGCUUCCUGUCAACCUGAUCUGAUCCCUGAAGGCCCUGGUGAGCAGGGGCCAGGAGGUGGAUGGUGGUUUUGGAAACACAUGGUGGUUUGUCUGAGCUACCACAUGAGCCUUCUCCUUCUUCCUCUGUACUGGAAAUGCGGACGGUCAGUAGCAGCCAGCAGAAGGUUCUGGAGGAACCUGGCUCACUGAAGUCUGGCACAGCUAAUCCAGCUAACUCUAAAAGGCUGGCAUCCCAGGUCCAGUAACUGUCACCAAAGCUUCCCUAAAAGUCAACCCUUCCGAGUCAGGGGCACCAGGAACCCAGCACUCCAGCUCUGCCAGAGGCAUGGAUGACGACAGAUGGAGCUCUGGCAAGCACAGGAGGACUCUUUAUAAGCAGCUACAUGCCACCCACAACUGGACUCAAAGACUUUCUGACUAUGGCUAAGUGGCAAGUGCUACCAUUUGUGGUUUUUAAAGUCCCCCAAAAAAAUAAAAAAUAAAAAUGAACAAGGUUGGCUUGAGGAAUGUGGAAGAUGACCCAGGAAUGAGGAAAGGAGGCUGUGGCCCCGUCAAUCCAGCUUUUGACCUGGAAAGGUGCAGAACAGAGACAAAUGAUUUCCCACACACCAGCAAGGGACCUGCCUCCAAUGACAGGAUUUCAGUCCACAAGGCCAGCAGACCCAAGACAGAGACACUACAGAGUGUGCUCUCCCUUUCAGAAGGGCAUACCUGCACUCUCCACAGCAGAUCUAACAGGAACCCAUGAAAGCUUCCCAACACGAACACUGAUGCUGGUGGUGCCUGGGAGGAUGGGGCCCAGCUCCCUCCUUCGCAGGUGAAAUCAGAACCCUGUCUGCAGCCUUGAGGAUGCGAUCAGAGCCAUGAACUAGACCAUGUCACAGGACACAGAGGCCAACAUGGAGAUGUAGCUCCAGGUGCCUACCUGACUCCUGUAAGCACAAGGAGACAGCUGAACCUCACUGGACCCACUUGGCUGAAAACCCAAGACAGCACUACCAUCCAGUUAAUUCAGCCCAGCUGCGGCACAUCCACAACACAGACACUGAACAUAACCCAUACAUGCUAUUAAACAAAAGGGUAAAACAGAAGAAGACCGUAGCUA
RNA transcript from Arvicola amphibius (Eurasian water vole), 3651 nucleotides. It is a transcript of the gene named uridine-cytidine kinase 1 like 1, with no coding region annotated. NCBI's taxonomy places the organism in Eukaryota, Metazoa, Chordata, Mammalia, Rodentia, Cricetidae. The transcript has 18 exons. The record is from RefSeq and is a predicted model, not a curated record.